UGGGAUGUCGUCUAACUGGCAGGACGAUGGUCUUUGAAGCCAUCUGUCGAGGUUCGAAUCCUCGCAUCCCAG
RNAcentral lists this transfer RNA (72 nucleotides) under Acidobacteriota bacterium. RNAcentral describes it as "tRNA-Gln". It matches the Rfam family "tRNA". From Rfam's summary of the family: Transfer RNA (tRNA) molecules are approximately 80 nucleotides in length. Their secondary structure includes four short double-helical elements and three loops (D, anti-codon, and T loops). The record is from RNAcentral. Lineage: Bacteria; Pseudomonadati; Acidobacteriota.